GUGGGGUAUUAAAGGACUUAUAUAAAUGACAAUAAAAUUUAUUUUUCGCAACUAUAUCAUGCCCUAUUUGGUAAAAAAAAAAAGAAAAACUAUGAAAAUGUGAGAAUUUGUUUGGUUUGAUGUGACUUGAUCUAUCUAGUAAGAUAGAAGUAAUAUUAUUUUUGGAGAAGAGACAUCAUAUUUAGUCAAUCCUACAUCAUAUUUAAUCUAACUAAU
RNAcentral lists this long non-coding RNA (216 nucleotides) under Vigna radiata. RNAcentral describes it as "long non-coding RNA (VRAD_LNC007135)". Lineage: Eukaryota; Viridiplantae; Streptophyta; Magnoliopsida; Fabales; Fabaceae. The record is from RNAcentral.